RNAcentral lists this ribosomal RNA (226 nucleotides) under Shewanella algae. Its description in RNAcentral is "partial 23S ribosomal RNA". It matches the Rfam family "Bacterial large subunit ribosomal RNA", at positions 1527 to 1750 of the family's 2925-position model. The record is from RNAcentral. Lineage: Bacteria; Pseudomonadati; Pseudomonadota; Gammaproteobacteria; Alteromonadales; Shewanellaceae.
UGUGCUUAGGCAAAUCCGGGCACACAUACACUGAGAGCUGACGACGAGUCCCCAAGGGGAUGAAGUGGUUGAUGCCAUGCUUCCAGGAAAAUCUUCUAAGCUUCAGGUUAGCAGGAAUCGUACCCCAAACCGACACAGGUGGUCGGGUAGAGAAUACCAAGGCGCUUGAGAGAACUCGGCUGAAGGAACUAGGCAAAAUGGUACCGUAACUUCGGGAGAAGGUACG